RNAcentral lists this ribosomal RNA (266 nucleotides) under Armillaria gallica. RNAcentral's name for it is "partial 26S ribosomal RNA". The stretch from base 1 to 154 matches the Rfam family "Eukaryotic large subunit ribosomal RNA", at positions 3247 to 3401 of the family's 3401-position model. The record is from RNAcentral. Lineage: Eukaryota; Fungi; Basidiomycota; Agaricomycetes; Agaricales; Physalacriaceae.
AAACGCUUGGGCGACUUGUCUACGAAUUGUAAUCAUAAUAUGGGCGGCGGUGAAUCCUUUGCAGACGACUUGAAUGGGAACGGGGUACUGUAAGUGGUAGAGUAGCCUUGUUGCUACGAUCCACUGAGGUUAAGCCCUUGUUCUAAAGAUUUGUUCAACUUUGUUGGACUUUCUCUUUUCUUUUUACAUGCUGAGACCUUGAGGGCCGGGAUAGUAUCCUUUGUGCACUCGCGACAGCAUGUUACUUAGAUUCGAAAGGGAAGGCU